GAUGAACGCUGGCGGCGUGCCUAAUACAUGCAAGUCGAGCGAACAGACGAGGAGCUUGCUCCUCUGACGUUAGCGGCGGACGGGUGAGUAACACGUGGAUAACCUACCUAUAAGACUGGGAUAACUUCGGGAAACCGGAGCUAAUACCGGAUAAUAUAUUGAACCGCAUGGUUCAAUAGUGAAAGACGGUUUUGCUGUCACUUAUAGAUGGAUCCGCGCCGCAUUAGCUAGUUGGUAAGGUAACGGCUUACCAAGGCAACGAUGCGUAGCCGACCUGAGAGGGGGGCAGCACACCGGGGCACCGACACCCGGCCGGCCCCCCCGGGGGAGGCGCCAGGAGGCAUUGUCGCGCAAGGCGGCAAGCCCGCAAGGAACAGCGCGGCGGGAAGGAGAAAUGUUUUGUGAUCUAAAACCUGUUUAAUUAGGAAAAAAAAAAGGUAAAAUUAACUCUGCCCCCCUUGACGGUCCCUAAUCAGAAACCCCCGCCUAACCCCGCC
RNAcentral lists this ribosomal RNA (497 nucleotides) under uncultured bacterium. Its description in RNAcentral is "partial 16S ribosomal RNA". It matches the Rfam family "Bacterial small subunit ribosomal RNA", at positions 28 to 507 of the family's 1533-position model. The record is from RNAcentral.